RNAcentral lists this ribosomal RNA (559 nucleotides) under Shewanella fidelis. RNAcentral's name for it is "bacterial SSU rRNA". It matches the Rfam family "Bacterial small subunit ribosomal RNA", at positions 55 to 603 of the family's 1533-position model. Lineage: Bacteria; Pseudomonadati; Pseudomonadota; Gammaproteobacteria; Alteromonadales; Shewanellaceae. The record is from RNAcentral.
AUGCAAGUCGAGCGGUAACACAAGGGAGCUUGCUCCUGAGGUGACGAGCGGCGGACGGGUGAGUAAUGCCUAGGUAUCUGCCCAGUCGAGGGGGAUAACAGUUGGAAACGACUGCUAAUACCGCAUACGCCCUACGGGGGAAAGGAGGGGACCUUCGGGCCUUCCGCGAUUGGAUGAGUCUAGGUGGGAUUAGCUAGUUGGUGAGGUAAUGGCUCACCAAGGCGACGAUCCCUAGCUGGUCUGAGAGGAUGAUCAGCCACACUGGAACUGAGACACGGUCCAGACUCCUACGGGAGGCAGCAGUGGGGAAUAUUGCACAAUGGGCGAAAGCCUGAUGCAGCCAUGCCGCGUGUGUGAAGAAGGCCUUCGGGUUGUAAAGCACUUUCAGCGAGGAGGAAAGGUUACUGGCUAAUAUCCAGUAGCUGUGACGUUACUCGCAGAAGAAGCACCGGCUAACUUCGUGCCAGCAGCCGCGGUAAUACGAGGGGUGCAAGCGUUAAUCGGAAUUACUGGGCGUAAAGCGUACGCAGGCGGUUUGUUAAGCGAGAUGUGAAAGCCC